Molecule: long non-coding RNA, 4644 nt
Organism: Limulus polyphemus (Atlantic horseshoe crab)
Lineage: Eukaryota; Metazoa; Arthropoda; Merostomata; Xiphosura; Limulidae
Exons: 2
Source: RefSeq, a predicted model, not a curated record
ACUUUUAGUCAAAGAUUUUGCUGUAGUUUCAAAAAAUAAAACAGAUACACCUGUCCUGGUAGUUUCUACGUAAGUAGGCUUACCACACGACAUAGACAUCUGAUCUAAUAGUUUCUAUAUAAGUAGGCUUACUACACGACACAGAGACUCCUGACCUAAUGGUUUCUACGUAAGUUAUGGGUGCUAAUUACGCUGCCUCUGUGCCACUGCAUGAGCAUUUACAAACUGUUCCUAUAAAGAUUGACGAGCUCUCCACAGAACAGUAACUUUGUUUCCCGAAAAUCAACAUUAUUAUAACGACUCACAGUUAGUAGCUUUUGUGAUUUCCACUUCAAACCUGUCUUUCUUCGUUAGGUAACAAAAACUACAGUAACUCAUGGUCAGUCUCUUAUUCUUGACAUUAACCAAGAAACGUUUACAUGACAAACAUCCAAGCCCACACGCAAAGAGAGUAAUAUGGUCUGCUAACCAGUUAACAACCACUAUUGCAUCUCUUGUUACUCAACAAUUGAAAGUGCUGGUAACGCUUUACGUCUAUAACCAGCUCGGCGUGGAUGGUGUUGUCAUGGAAACAGUUUCCCCCAAUACUAGGAAGAAAUGUUAUUACUUUGUUGUUACAGAACCUCGACAGAGAAUGCUUUCCCGCGGUGCUUCACGUGUGCAUUAUUUACAAACGAGAAGGACAUAUGAAUAUGAUUAAAUUUUUUGUUGCCCCUCUCUUUCCUAUUCAAACCAGCAUCUACUCCGACUAAUUCCCCUCUCAAUACAUAUGUACAAGUGUUGAAGAAACGUCAGUAAAACUAAUGAAUUUUUUAAAUAUCUUACACAUUUCCUACUAAAGCUAAACUUUCUCUAUAUGUGAUCCUGGCUUGGCACAGCCUAGUCAAUAACGUGCGUGGACUGUGAAUCCAAAUAAACUCUUCCUUAUAAGUGAUCCUGGCUUGUCAUAGCCUAGUCAAUAACGUGCGUGGACUGUGAAUCGAAAUAAACUCUUCCCUAUAAGUGAUCUUGGCUUGGCAUAGCCUAAUCAAUAACGUGCGUGGACUAUGAAUUCAAAUAAACUCUUCCCUAUAAGUGAUCUUGGCUUGGCAUAGCCUAGUCAAUAACGUGCGUGGACUGUGAAUCCAAAUAAACUCUUCCCUAUAAGUGAUCUUGGCUUGGCAUAGCCUAGUCAAUAACGUGCGUGGACUGUGAAUCCAAAUAAACUCUUCCUUAUAAGUGAUCCUGGCUUGUCAUAGCCUAGUCAAUAACGUGCGUGGACUGUGAAUUCAAGGCUUCAUGUGACUUCUUGACACAAACACACAAUCUACACUUUGGGGUCGUAAGUGCACUGAAGUGUCCCACUCCCAGUAUUCAAUCACACAAGAAUUGCCCAAAAUUUGACUGUGGGUGUUAUUAACUAGCUGCCUUCCCUCUAGCUUAGUAGUUUUUGGUAUACAAAUAAUCUUAAGAAUUUGACCCUUCUCUUUCUUUUCCUGUACAGUUCACCUAAAGAUGGUUAGAAAGUUAUUGUGUCUUAUCAAGUAUAUUAUCUAAAUUUUUCGAAAGUUGAUGAUGUAAGACAAACGUUCAUGCAAGUAAGCAGAAUAAUAAAAUGAAAAACUCAGCACGCAUUAUCUGUCUGGCCUUUUUUUCCGGAUUUAUUCGAUUCUAAGAUUUAAAACCAAAUGAUCGAUCAACAUCUACUUGGUUUCUCUCAUUUCGUUUCUUUAAUCUGACAGAGUUUCUUUCUUCACUUACUUUGUGUUCUCUACAGUCUUUCUUUCUCAUAUGUUUGGCACUCUCUUUCCUUUUUGCACUCUUUUUCAUUUUGUUCACUUUUCAUUCUUUGUCAUAUAAUGUUUCCUUCCUUCACUCACUUAAUUUUCAAUUCUUUCUUGUCUUUGGAAAACGUUUCUUUAGUUCUUACUUUGCACCCUUUCGUUUCUUUGUCAUCUGUCUGGUAGAAGUUAUUUCUCUCUCUCAUUCUCUUAGUGUUCUUCCUAGUCAUCUGUCUGAUAGAGGUUCUUUAUCUCUCUCAUUCUCUUAGUGUUCUUCUUAAUCAUCUGUCUGAUAGAGGUUCUUUAUAUCUCUCAUUCUCUUAGUGUUCUUUCUAGUCAUCUGUCUGAUAGAGGUUCUUUAUCUCUCUCAUUCUCUUAGUGUUCUUCCUAGACAUCUGUCUGAUAGAGGUUCUUUCUUUCUCUCAUUCUGUUAGUGUUCUUCCUAGUCAUCUGUCUGAUAGAGGUUCUUUAUCUCUCUCAUUCUCUUAGUGUUCUUCCUAGUCAUCUGUCUGAUAGAGGUUCUUUAUCUCUCUCAUUCUCUUAGUGUUCUUCCUAGUCAUCUGUCUGAUAGAGGUUCUUUAUCUCUCUCAUUCUCUUAGUGUUCUUCCUAGUCAUCUGCCUGAUAGAGGUUGUUUCUUUCUCCCAUUCUCUUAGUGUUCUUCCUAGUCAUCUGUCUGAUAGAGGUUCUUUAUCUCUCUCAUUCUCUUAGUGUUCUUCCUAGUCAUCUGUCUGAUAAGGUUUCUUUCAUUCUUUCCUACUUAGUGCUUUUUCUUUAACCUGUCUAACAUAGUUUAUUUCCUUCUGUCAAUAUCCACACUUUUCUUUCGCUCUUUCAUUUUUGCACUCUUGUUUUGUAAAAAGCACUAUAAGAAGACAGUUUCGGAUUACAAAUAGUAUUUAUUUGAAAUUCCAGGAAUGCAGUCAGUGGUGUUUGCACAUAAAUCACAAACUCAAAUAAGAAAUGAAUCAGGAGCUAUAUAAAUGUCGCAUCCAGCCUUUAAUAUAGCACUUAAACAUUAUGUUAAUAAUACAUAGUUACAGCCUUAAUACCAGUAAUGAACUUAAUAAAUUAUAUCCAAUAAAUCUUCAUAAACUUAGUUACUUAUAAAGAAACUUCUCACUGGAAAGCUGUGAUUUCGACUGACUGCUGUUGAAACCUUCCCAGCAUUUACACAGAAUUUGUCUUACUUAUUGACAUCCAGUAUGUGGCUACGAUUUAUGCAGCAACCAAACUGAGGUCAAGGGCUGUUGUUCUCAUGAGCUCAGUAGCUCAAGGUUACUGAUGCACAUCCUUAAAUGCAUAUAUUCACUUGCCGCGUGCUUAAUGAUGUUUUUAUUCUGACUUAAUAUGACUAUUUGUCACUUGCCACGUGCUUACUGAUGUCUUUACUCUGAUUUCAUAUGACUAUUUGUCACUUGCCACGUGCUUACUGAUGUCCGUACUCUGACUUCAUAUGACUAUUUGUCACUUUUCAGGUGCUUACUGAUGUCUUUACGCUGACUUCAUAUGACUAUUUGUCACUUGCCACGUCAUUACGGAUGUCUUUACUCUGACUUCAUAUGACUAUCUGUCAUUUGCCACGUACUUACUGAUAUCUUUACUCUGACUUCAUACGACUAUUUGUCACUUGCCACGUGCUUACUGAUGUCUUUACUCUGACUUCGUAUGACUGUCACUUGCCACAUGCUUACUGAUGUCUUUACUCUAACUUCAUAUGACUAUUUGUCACUUGCCGCGUGCUUACUGAUGUAUUUACUCUGACUUCAUAUGACUAUUUGUCACUUGCCACGUGCUUAUUGAUGUAUUUACUCUGACUUCAUAUAACUAUUUGUUUCCUAAUUUACAUCAAGCUAGCUAUCUGACUUAUUACUAAUCACGAGUUAAGGGUCUGUCAUUACUUUUCUUCACAAUUAGUCUGACCUCAUGACAUCACUUGUCUCCUAAAUUUACUUUAGGCUUGUUAUUAACCACAAGUUAAUGACGUGAUUAGUUUUCCUGACAAUUUGGUGUAGAGUUAUGAAUUUUCAUGCAAGUUUGAUACUUUCUUUUCUCUGUUCUUUUGUAGAUGGCUUAAGUAGAGUCUUCACGAUACUAAGGUAACAUCGAACACCACGACUGUAAGGUUUCGAUUCUAAUAAGUUACCAACCAACACCUUAUGCAUCACAAAGAGUGCUGUUGAUUUCUACAUCAAAAAGGUUCUGUACUUAUCAUUUAGAAGGAAAGAGAGUUCUGUUUUGUUUCUCUCUCUCUUCUGUCAACCCUGGAACUUUAAUGAGCUACUUCGAUUGUUUUUAUGCCUUUAGGGAUUUGUCUCUGUUAUGUUGUUGAAAUUAGUGGUCCAUAGAAUGAAAGAGUUAAUAAUGUGGACACUAACAUGUUUGAUUAGAGAAAACAAAGCUAUAUCCCAUUAUUCUAAACCCUCUAUAUAAAAGUAUUAUUCAUAUGUUAAUUAAGCGUAAAUUUUCUUCGUAUCACAAAGGAGUAAUAUAAAUUAGGCUACGGGAGUAUAUCGAAGAGAACGAAAGAACUGACCCCUUAAUCCACGCUCCCGACAAGAAAAAUAAUCCUUGGGCAGAAAAAGGAAAAUGUCUCAUCAUGUAGCCUGAACUUCGUGUAAUCUAACUCCUUAACGAACUUCACUCCUCUUCAGCCAAAGACUAUUUCAUAUCCCGUGUCGUUUUAACCCUCGUAUAUUGAAAUCUUUUAUCAACUUUUGUUUGAACCUAUUUAGCUACGAAACUAAGGCUGGAAAAAAAGUUUCACCAUCGUUUUUGACCUCAAAACUAAACUUCAAAUUAUUCAUCAGUUGUUGUUGUUGUUUUUUGUAAUGUAUUGUCAACAAUGGAAAUAUAACAUCGAAAUGCCUUUCUCCAAAAACAAAA